AUCCCUUUAGCGCAAUGGAUAGCUCGUUGAACUUCUAAUCCAAAGGUCGUGGGCUCGAAUCCCACCUGGGAUG
Molecule: transfer RNA, 73 nt
Filed under: Trichonephila clavata
Lineage: Eukaryota; Metazoa; Arthropoda; Arachnida; Araneae; Nephilidae
Rfam family: tRNA
About the family: Transfer RNA (tRNA) molecules are approximately 80 nucleotides in length.
Source: Rfam by way of RNAcentral